AGCGAACGCUGGCGGCAGGCCUAGCACAUGCAAGUCGAACGAACUCUUCGGAGUUAGUGGCGGACGGGUGAGUAACACGUGGGAACGUGCCUUUUGGUUCGGAAUAACUCAGGGAAACUUGUGCUAAUACCGAAUGUGCCCUUCGGGGGAAAGAUUUAUCGCCAUUAGAGCGGCCCGCGUCUGAUUAGCUAGUUGGUGAGGUAACGGCUCACCAAGGCGACGAUCAGUAGCUGGUCUGAGAGGAUGACCAGCCACACUGGGACUGAGACACGGCCCAGACUCCGACGGGAGGCAGCAGUGGGGAAUAUUGUGCAAUGGGCGAAAGCCUGACGCAGCCAUGCGGCGUGAAUGAUGCAGGGCUUAGGAUUGUAAAAUUGUUUCUCCGGGGACGAUAAUGACGGUAACCGGAGAAGAAGCCCCGGCUAACUUCGUG
RNAcentral lists this ribosomal RNA (433 nucleotides) under uncultured bacterium. RNAcentral describes it as "partial 16S ribosomal RNA". It matches the Rfam family "Bacterial small subunit ribosomal RNA", at positions 29 to 507 of the family's 1533-position model. The record is from RNAcentral.